GACGUAGGGCGCGAGCGUUGUCCGGAUUUAUUGGGCGUAAAGAGCUCGUAGGCGGCUUGUCGCGUCGUCCGUGAAAACCCACAGCUCAACUGUGGGCUUGCGGUCGAUACGGGCAGGCUAGAGUUCGGUAGGGGAGACUGGAAUUCCUGGUGUAGCGGUGAAAUGCGCAGAUAUCAGGAGGAACACCGGUGGCGAAGGCGGCAUCCUGGACCAACACUGACGCUGAGGAGCGAAAGCCAGGGGAGCAAACGGG
RNAcentral lists this ribosomal RNA (253 nucleotides) under uncultured bacterium. Its description in RNAcentral is "partial 16S ribosomal RNA". It matches the Rfam family "Bacterial small subunit ribosomal RNA", at positions 524 to 776 of the family's 1533-position model. The record is from RNAcentral.